Molecule: ribosomal RNA, 251 nt
Filed under: uncultured prokaryote
Description: partial 16S rRNA
Rfam family: Bacterial small subunit ribosomal RNA
Source: RNAcentral
ACGGAGGGGGCGAGCGUUGUUCGGAAUUACUGGGCGUAAAGCGCACGUAGGCGGCGUGUCAAGUCGGGGGUGAAAGGCCUGGGCUUAACCUGGGAACUGCCCUUGAUACUGGCAUGCUGGAGUCCGGGAGGGGGUGGCGGAAUUCCCAGUGUAGAGGUGAAAUUCGUAGAUAUUGGGAAGAACACCGGUGGCGAAGGCGGCCACCUGGCCCGGUACUGACGCUGAGGUGCGAAAGCGUGGGGAGCAAACAG